GGAAAGAAUUUCAAGCACAAAGCUAUCAAGGUCCCAACGAAGUCCCACAGCCUCAAUUGGAUCAUUAGGGGAGUUAGAGUCUGCUAAAGGCUCAACAAAAUAUCGAUCAAGAGGUAGCCGGUAGCUAGGUCGAGGUGUCCUUGUAGAUUCGUAUCUUUGGUAGGCAUCAAUGGCAUUCAGUAGCUACACAUUCACUAUGGUCACUCUGUUGGAAAUCCAGACUCAUUUUGUUGUAAAUAUGUACAAGUGAUGUAAAUUAUUAGAUUGCACGUUUAGACAAUAUAUAUACAUUUUUAUUGGUAUGCCACUAUGGGUUGGCAAUACUUAGUAUUAUUUUGAUUCAAAGUUAUGGAAUGUACUUAGUAACGUUUGAUGGAAUGGUGAACAGGUCAUAUAAAUAGGCUUGCUUGGACUUAGUGGACUACGUCCAUUGGGCCCAUGUGCCGGUUAUAGCCCCAAAUUUCGAUCGUGACAAUUUAACCCCUAUUAGUAGGGUCGGAACAUAU
Molecule: non-coding RNA, 506 nt
Organism: Theobroma cacao (cacao)
Lineage: Eukaryota; Viridiplantae; Streptophyta; Magnoliopsida; Malvales; Malvaceae
Source: RefSeq, a predicted model, not a curated record